Molecule: ribosomal RNA, 253 nt
Filed under: uncultured bacterium
Lineage: Bacteria
Description: partial 16S ribosomal RNA
Rfam family: Bacterial small subunit ribosomal RNA
Source: RNAcentral
UACAGAGGUCUCAAGCGUUGUUCGGAUUCAUUGGGCGUAAAGGGUGCGUAGGCGGCGCGGCAAGUCGGGUGUGAAAUCUCGGAGCUUAACUCCGAAACUGCAUUCGAUACUAGCGUGCUUGAGGACUGGAGAGGAGACUGGAAUUUACGGUGUAGCGGUGAAAUGCGUAGAUAUCGUAAGGAAGACCAGUGGCGAAGGCGGGUCUCUGGACAGUUCCUGACGCUGAGGCACGAAGGCCAGGGGGGCAAACGGG